Molecule: ribosomal RNA, 827 nt
Filed under: uncultured bacterium
Lineage: Bacteria
Description: bacterial SSU rRNA
Rfam family: Bacterial small subunit ribosomal RNA
Source: RNAcentral
GUCGAGCGGAGUUUUAAAAGCUUGCUUUUAAAACUUAGCGGCGGACGGGUGAGUAACACGUGGGCAACCUGCCUUACAGACUGGGAUAACUCCGGGAAACCGAAGCUAAUACCGGAUGACCAAUGGGACCGCAUGGUCCGAUUGUAAAAGUUGGGAGCAAUCCUAACACUGUGAGAUGGGCCCGCGGCGCAUUAGCUAGUUGGUGGGGUAAUGGCCUACCAAGGCGACGAUGCGUAGCCGACCUGAGAGGGUGAUCGGCCACACUGGAACUGAGACACGGUCCAGACCCCUACGGGAGGCAGCAGUAGGGAAUCAUCCGCAAUGGGCGAAAGCCUGACGGUGCAACGCCGCGUGGACGAUGACGGUCCUCGGAUUGUAAAGUUCUGUUGUUAGGGAAGAACAAGUACCGUUCGAAUAGGGCGGUACCUUGACGGUACCUGACCAGAAAGCCCCGGCUAACUACGUGCCAGCAGCCGCGGUAAUACGUAGGGGGCAAGCGUUGUCCGGAAUUAUUGGGCGUAAAGCGCGCGCAGGUGGUCUCUUAAGUCUGAUGUGAAAGCCCACGGCUCAACCGUGGAGGGUCAUUGGAAACUGGGAGACUUGAGUGUAGGAGAGGAAAGUGGAAUUCCACGUGUAGCGGUGAAAUGCGUAGAUAUGUGGAGGAACACCAGUGGCGAAGGCGACUUUCUGGCCUAUAACUGACACUGAGCGCGAAAGCGUGGGGAGCAAACAGGAUUAGAUACCCUGGUAGUCCACGCCGUAAACGAUGAGUGCUAGUGUUAGGGUUUCGAUACCUUAGUGCCGCAGUUACACAUAAGCACUCGCCU